This 332-nucleotide unclassified non-coding RNA is filed under the name soil metagenome. Its description in RNAcentral is "partial contains 5.8S ribosomal RNA, internal transcribed spacer 2, and large subunit ribosomal RNA". The stretch from base 1 to 120 matches the Rfam family "5.8S ribosomal RNA", at positions 35 to 154 of the family's 154-position model. The record is from RNAcentral.
GAUGAAGAACGUAGCAAAAUGCGAUAAGUAAUGUGAAUUGCAGAAUUCAGUGAAUCAUCGAAUCUUUGAACGCACAUUGCGCCCGCCAGUAUUCUGGCGGGCAUGCCUGUUCGAGCGUCAUCUCAACCCUCAAGCACAGCUUGGUGUUGGGACUCGCGUUAAUUCGCGUUCCCCAAAUUGAUUGGCGGUCACGUCGAGCUUCCAUAGCGUAGUAGUAAAACCCUCGUUACUGGUAAUCGUCGCGGCCACGCCGUUAAACCCCAACUUCUGAAUGUUGACCUCGGAUCAGGUAGGAAUACCCGCUGAACUUAAGCAUAUCAAUAAGCGGAGGA